CCUACGGGAGGCAGCAGUGGGGGAUAUUGCACAAUGGAGGAAACCCUGAUGCAGCGACGCCGCGUGAGGGAAGACGGUCUUCGGAUUGUAAACCUCUGUCUUUGGGGAAGAAAAUGACGGUACCCAAAGCUGAAGCUCCGGCUAACUACGUUCCAGCAGCCGCGGUAAUACGCGGGGAGCGAGCGUUGUCCGGAAUUACUGGGGGUAGGGGGAGCGUAGGCGGGCGAGAAGUUUGAGUGUUAAAUCUACCGGCUUAACUGGUAGCUGCGUUCAAAACUUCUUGUAUUGAGUGCAGUAGAGGCAGGCGGAAUUCCUGGUGUAGCGGUGAAAUGCGUAGAUAUUAGGAGGAACACCAGUGGCGAAGGCAGCCUACUGGGCUUUAACUGACGCUGAGGCUCGAAAGCGUGGGGAGCAAACAGGAUUAGAUAUCCGAGUAGUC
This 439-nucleotide ribosomal RNA is filed under the name uncultured bacterium. RNAcentral's name for it is "partial 16S ribosomal RNA". It matches the Rfam family "Bacterial small subunit ribosomal RNA", at positions 338 to 795 of the family's 1533-position model. The record is from RNAcentral.